Molecule: long non-coding RNA, 3630 nt
Filed under: Nicotiana benthamiana
Lineage: Eukaryota; Viridiplantae; Streptophyta; Magnoliopsida; Solanales; Solanaceae
Description: long non-coding RNA (NBEN_LNC028090)
Source: RNAcentral
UGCGACUCACUCCUGCUGACCCGCCCCACUCUUUAUUUUUAUCUCGGCUGUUGAUCUGAAAGAUCGACGACCCACAAUCCAUCUUCCCGCUUCUAAGAAACCUCACCCUAAACCCGAGCCUCAUUUUACCCGGUCAGUCACCUAUAUACUCUCUUAAACCUUUCCAUCUCCUCACAAACCCUAGUCGCGCCCUAAUUCUUCUCCGAGUCCAACCCAUCCAUGGAUUCUUACCAUGAUUUACUUACCUUUCAUGGAUUAUACUACUGUUACCGGUGCAAAUAUGAUGUUACUUAGUACUUGUCCAUUUUUGGAAAGUACCAGUCUCCGAAUCAAGGGAAAUUGUCUUUACUCUCCAAGAUUUGAAUGAUAUUUCGUCUAUAUACAUUCAUAACAAGCGUAUGAGGGUCCGAUUCACCGAAUCUAUGGCCAAUUUCUGGUCCUUGUCAGACUAGGACCUAGUUUUUUCUUCUAAUUCGAUUUUAAAUUGAUUUUAUGUAUGUUCUUCUUUCUUUGUUUAUAUUUGAUUGACUGUAUUUUCUUGUUUGUGUGUUGAUUUUUACUAUUAUAUAAACUCCCUUUCCCGUUUCCCCUCUAAGACUGAACUACUAUUACUACUGUUGUUUUCUCAAACUUACUCGCUCUAAACUAUUCUAAGAUUAUACUCAUGGUCGACUAAAAUUCAAGGCCACUGAAAUCCAACUAUUAGACCUCUCUUAGUGAGAUCACUGCCCUGGUUUCAUCAGAGACCCUUGGGAACUCUGAUGCACUAAGAAUUUUGAGGUAUCUGUUGUUAUCCCCUUGUUACUGAUAAGCAAGCUGCUGGCACUAAAUUUCUAACUUGUUAGUUCGUUAAUUUUGCAAACUGGUGAGUAAUGAGACUCUCGUGAUUCUAUUCUAAUUUGCUUGUAUUCAUGUCAUUUAGGUCUUUAUGAAUCAAUAUGCUAUUGUUUUCUUCUGUUCAUUCAUGUUUGCCUUAGCAUUAUCAUGUACCCUGUGCUUUUCUAGUAUCUAAACCUACUUGAGUUCUGAGCUUCGAUGCAUGCCUACUAUAUGUUUGUGCAAUUUGAAUUAUUUUUUAUUACCUUCAGUAUGAUUUGUUAUUCUGAUCACUUGUUGCUUUUCAUGAGCCCUUUCUUAUGCCUUAUCUUGGAUGAUUGUAUUCUUAAAGGGGUUAUCUCAUGCCCAGAACUGGUUUGAGUGAAUUCCUUUUCUGAUAGCCCAUCUUGUAUGUUCUACUAUUUUCCUUGCUUUAUGCUUACAUGAGCCUUAUGUGGUAGUUAAUGUCUAGUGUUUUAGCCAAAAAUGUUGCUCUCUGAUGUGGUGUUUGGUCAACCCUAUACUCUUGACUAUUGCCUACGCUUCUAAUUGAAUCCCAAUACACUUAGUUUUUGCUAUUAUGCUUAGUUGACUGGCUUAAUCUCUGAAGUCUCUCUGUUUUAUUUGAUCUUAAGAUUGACAAGUCUUUCUACCAUGACAUCUUUAGACUUGGGAAUCUUUGUGUUAUACUCAGUAAGAUUAGGAUUCUUAUUAACUAUUAUAAACCAUGCCUACUUAUUUGUUUACAAUGUGUAAUUGCAAUUCCCUGACUAUAACUCUAUAAGACCUUCAUGACUUAGAUUCCUAGUUUUUAAAAUUCAUUUUAGGCUAAUUCUAGUUCAUGUUUUAAUCUAAACUUGCGGUUCUAGAAAAUUAAGCACGUAUGUGUCCUUAUCCUGUUAACCUAAAUGGCAUACCUCCCCAACUCUUCUAGUGUUCUACAUGUUAUACUCUUUCACUUGUUUUGAACCUAUGCUAUUAGUUUUUUUCAUGUCAAACUCACCAUGUUGAAACUGAGUUCUAAUGCUUCUCCUUGUUUCAUGUUCAAGCCCUUGUUCGACCAAUCCUGUCACUCCAGCUUCUAAAAUGCAAGUGUUAAUAUAGUUUAUAUGAAUCAUGUCUUUAUGAGGUAAUUCUUUAGAGCUGUUUAAUUAACAUCCAUGUGUGGCUCGUUAACUUAUAUGGUUAACUGGUUAAUCUGUAAUUGUUGGGCUUGGUAUGAGUUCAUGUGUGGCCAUGGGCUAUGCAAAUGGACACACUCUCUUGCUUGAGAUGCAUUUGGAUCUGGAUUUUUCUAUUCGUGUAAAAAUGAGCUUGUUGAAGGACCAUGCAGUAAGGAGUUAUUUUCAUUUGGGCCUGCUCUUAGGCCUGCAGUGUUUCAGUAUGUAAUAUCAAUUUUUAUAUUUAUUAUUUUGGGCAUGUAAUAAUUUGUAAACAAAACAGUUGGGGAAUUAAUUGGAAUGAGGAACAAGUAUCCUUUAAUUUUUGUAUGAAAGGGUAGAGAGCAUGCCUAUAGGGUCUACCUGCUUUGUUUACUACUUUGAUUCGACAUGCUUUAUUUUUAUACAUGAAUAGAUAUCAUGGCUAUGAACUUAAACACUUCACCUGCUUAACUUGUCUAAUACCCGUACAUCAUCAGAAGCAUGUUUGUAAGAGUUUAAGUGCUCUACUUGUUCACAUGUCUACUAUUAUGAACUAUAGAUAGCAUGCUUAUAGGAAUAGGAUGUCAACAUGUGUGAUUACAAUAUGAUAGCAUGCCUAUAGAGUCAUAAGCUAAUAUUACCAUGCCUGCGGGGGCUUAAUUGAUUAACAGAUCGAUUGUUUCUGUCGUUCUUAUUAAGCUGCUCGCCUAGAUAGCAUGAUUAUAUGAAUAAGAACAAUAAAAUUGUAUUUAGAUACCAACUGCUAAAGAACCUGCCAAUAACACACUGUUAUUCACUUAGAAAGCAUGCCAAUAAGAUCAAACAUCAGUAAUUCUGAGUUCUCAAAUAGUUUUAUUACCCUAUUGCAGAAAUCAUUUAGAUCAUGUCUACAGGUUUUAUAAUACUUGUAAUAUGUAAAUUUGGUAAUCUGAAACGGUUGUAGGACGUUUUAAACUAGAUCACAUAGAAGCCAUGUCUAUAGGACUUAACGACUUUAAUAUGCCUUGAUUCUGAAACUGCCUACUACCUAAUAUGAAAUCUGCUCACGUGCUUUUGGUGCUUAUGUGUGGAGGCUAACUUGAGCCAUUUAUUAUUUUUGUGUGUAGUCCUACAUGUUUUGAAUGUGCAUCUAAUUUUAUCUUUUGAGCGCCCUAAGUAAAGUCUAGAGCCACCUAAAUAGUAGGUCCAAAGCUUCCUGGAUCAUAGGCAUAUGAUCGGUAGUGUACGUAUAGGAUACGAUUUAGAAUUGAACUAGAGCUCUUUAGGUAAACAACUUUGACAUAGUAAUUAGAUAGCAGUAGAUGAUAGUCUAUGCUCACUGAAUAAUAUGAGCAACACAUAUCCUAAGGGAGUUACAAAAUAUUAUUUAAGUUGCACGAGGUGAUCUUUUAGGCCAAAAAACUUAGGACUUCCUUUAUAUAUUUAUUUUCCGUGCCUUUGGUUCUUUGAACUUAGAACAAUUAGGCUAUAUCUUAUAACCUCUUAGGACUUCUACUGACCAUUUAUAUGUAGUUAAUUUCUUCACAUGUGCAAUUAUUCUUUACACUUGUAUUACAUCAGAGUUGAACCUUUAAAUUCCCUCUCUUCCUUCAUUACAUGAUAACGUAGGAUAGUUAUAAUCCAAUAAUUCUACAUAGCGUGAAUUUAGGCCGGGAAUUAUAGUCGUCGAUCU